AGUGAACGCUGGCGGUAGGCCUAACACAUGCAAGUCGAACGGCAGCACAGUAAGAGCUUGCUCUUACGGGUGGCGAGUGGCGGACGGGUGAGGAAUACAUCGGAAUCUACUUUUUCGUGGGGGAUAACGUAGGGAAACUUACGCUAAUACCGCAUACGACCUACGGGUGAAAGCAGGGGAUCUUCGGACCUUGCGCGAUUGAAUGAGCCGAUGUCGGAUUAGCUAGUUGGCGGGGUAAAGGCCCACCAAGGCGACGAUCCGUAGCUGGUCUGAGAGGAUGAUCAGCCACACUGGAACUGGGACACGGUCCAGACUCCUACGGGAGGCAGCAGUGGGGAAUAUUGGACAAUGGGCGCAAGCCUUAUCCAGCCAUACCGCGUGGGUGAAGAAGGCCUUCGGGUUGUAAAGCCCUUUUGUUGGGAAAGAAAAGCAGCAGGUUAAUACCCCGCUGUUCUGACGGUACCCAAAGAAUAAGCACCGGCUAACUUCGUG
Molecule: ribosomal RNA, 492 nt
Filed under: uncultured bacterium
Lineage: Bacteria
Description: partial 16S ribosomal RNA
Rfam family: Bacterial small subunit ribosomal RNA
Source: RNAcentral